UACAGGGGGGGCAAGCGUUGUUCGGAAUUACUGGGCGUAAAGGGCUCGUAGGCGGCCAACUAAGUCACACGUGAAAUCCCCAGGCUUAACCUGGGAACUGCGUGUGAUACUGGAUGGCUUGAAUCCGGGAGAGGGAUGCGGAAUUCCAGGUGUAGCGGUGAAAUGCGUAGAUAUCUGGAGGAACACCGGUGGCGAAGGCGGCAUCCUGGACCGGUAUUGACGCUGAUGAGCGAAAGCCAGGGGAGCAAAACGGGG
This 255-nucleotide ribosomal RNA is filed under the name uncultured bacterium. RNAcentral's name for it is "partial 16S ribosomal RNA". It matches the Rfam family "Bacterial small subunit ribosomal RNA", at positions 524 to 778 of the family's 1533-position model. The record is from RNAcentral.